Molecule: transfer RNA, 24 nt
Filed under: Cacopsylla affinis
Lineage: Eukaryota; Metazoa; Arthropoda; Insecta; Hemiptera; Psyllidae
Description: partial tRNA-Cys
Source: RNAcentral
AUUUUUUAGUCAAAUUAUGAUUUU